UACAAAGACUUCAAGUGUUGCCUAAUGUAAAAUUUUUGGAGAACGCUUCUCGACAUAUGAAGCUACGCUUUACUAGCAUUAUUUUUGGCAUUUUUUGAAAGCAACACCGUACAAACGUAGUCUAAAAUUUUUAGAAAAUUAGACAAAACUUUCCCGCUUAAAAUAUUCCCUCUAAAAUUUUCCAUAGAUCGAUUCAACCUCACUCUAGGUCUAGGUCUAGGGCUUGAAACUCACAAAGAAAAAUUUUUCUUCACUAGAUUUUUCAAAAGAAAGGACGGUCCUUGGCACCCAGUCGGCGACGAGUUCUGAUUUACUUCAUUCGACUUCUAAAGACAACAAGAAAGGUCCGUCAUUUGAGUUUUAUCAAUUUUUUGAAACCAGUAUAGGGUUUAUUUAAGUGAGUACUCGAUUAUCCAGACAUUCUCUACUUUUAUUUGGUAUGUGCAUUUAAUUGGAGAAAUUUCAGUAAUUAGUUGUAUUUUUGAAUGUAUUGUAAGUGGAAUUUUUUAGGGAAUUCUGUGCCUUUCUUCUGAAUCUGGGAGAAACACGGAUUAGACAACUUGUAGAACUUUUAAUGUAUCUGUGUUUGGAUAGGCUUGUUAUGGGUUUCACAUAAGAGGUUUAAAAUCAUUCUAUUAAAAUUUGUUAUAUUGCUUUAUUGUCUUACAAACUUCACCUAAAUUUUAAUAUUUUUGAUAAUGCAUUUGUUUCAAUUUCUUUUGUAUCUCUUGGAUAACAAAGGAAGAGUAGAGAUUGCCGAUGAUAUUUGAAAUGUCCACUUAUAAUUCAGCUGUACUGUAUUUCUUUGGUAAAACUCAGCUUGAUUGACUUGAAUAAAGCUAAAACUUCUAUUUUUAAUUGAAGAACUCGAAUAUUUCAAGAGCACACAAUUCCUUUGAAUUUAUGUUUGAGAUGAGUUUACAAAUUUAAUGUAGAAACAAUUCUGGUCGCAUAAACUUUUGAAGCUUUAAACCAAUUUUGUUUAUUUUAUUUUUUUAUAACAGGUAUACAUCAUUGGCCAUGGUCUGACCAAGAAGUACAAAGAUCUUCAGACAAUAAGCAUACCAUCCAGGUACAAAAAUUAAACAUGUAACUAAAUUGUAUUUUUACAAUACUAAAAAGAAGGAAGAGAAAUUACAGUAUGUUAGUAUUAUAGAUGAUUAAUCUCUUUAUAUUGUUGUACUCAUAUAAGUAAUCUUAUUUCCUUUGUAUGUAGUAUAGUCUUGCUUUGCUUUGUUGAGUUACGCUUUGGCUAGUUUAGUAUCUCGUAAAAAUUUAUAUAAUCUUGUCCUUAUUUAAUAGCAUCAUGAGAGAAGGUAUAACAUAUAUUUAUAUCAGUUUGAGAAAAUUAAUAAAUUACAUAAAACUGGAGAGAUAUACCCCUUAGGAAAUACUAUGAAACCAUAGAAAACCAAAUAAACUACAUUUGUUGUUAUUUUCUAUUAACUUGAAGCUGCUUGGGCUAUCUCUCUUUGGAAUUUGAAUUACACUCACUGGAUCAUCAGGAGGUUCUGCAAAAACUUUAAUUUUGACAAUAGAGCAAUCUUUGAUAUUGUAAGCAGAUAGAGGUUGAUCACUCUUCAUUUUUGCAGACUUGUGAUAAACACUCAUGUAUUUCAUCUCCCCAUACCUUGAUGAUUAUCUUCAUUAAUUCUUUUAUUGUACUAUUUCCUCUCACUUAAGUAUAGAACUCAGAUGUUGGAGACUCCACCUUUAUUCUUAUUCUAGGUCCUCCAUCCAUAAGGUACAAUAUUUUUUCUUUUUUAACGAAUCCGAGCAACAAUGAACUAAGUAUUAAGAAACUGAAGCAACCAGUAAGGCAGAAAGUUGAGAUUGAAGUAAGAGUUGUGGUGGAAUGUUGAGAGUUAUCAAGAUUUUCAAUUAUAAAUAGACUUUUGGAAUGGGAAUUUAUAAUAAUUUAAAACGUGGAUUAAACUAUUCCACACGCCAUUAAGGUUUCUCCCAAGAUACAAAAUUUAUUAGUGUUAACAUGCAAAUAUUUCCAAGUAUUUAAAGCAAUAAUAUAAUACUCCUCACUUUCACUACAACAACUUUAGUCUAAGGCUACGCUAGUUUUUCCACGCUUGAAAAACAUGGUCAAUCCUAUCUAUAGGCAUGCUUUAUAGGAGUGGCAUUUGUUUACGUCUUUUGGCCAUGCAAAAUUUAACAAUGCCUGUAAAGUGUGCCUUUAGGAAGUAUAGAUGAAGCUUUAAAGAUGUACACAAAUCUUAAAACAAUUAGCAAUACCUUUUUAUAUUUAUUGCUACUCUUUCAAGCGUGCUAUAUUUGUAAUACUAAAGGCAACACUUUAUCUGAGUAGAGAAUCUUAAUAUAUAUGUCCAAUUAUCUUUGCAGCUUUGCUAAAUUAUUAUGUUGACAAUCUCAGGUCAGCCUUUAUCUUUGUGUUCUUAUUGAUAUUCUUUUAAAUUGCAGAUUGUGAGAUUUAUUUCUAUGCUACUGAAGUUGGUUGUGAAGUUGCCGAGAAAGAGUUGAUCAGAUCUGCUCAAAACAUAUUUUAGAUAAUUUCUACCAUGUGAUUUAGUGCUUGACAAAGUAAAUAUUACUUCAACUAAUUUUUACCUUUCCACAUAUGACACCUACAUGUGAAAUUUGUAUUUAAGUUAAGAGAAUUCCUACUAUUUUGAGUGUUCAUUUAGAAGGUGGGGUCACAAUUCACAUAAUUUGUACAGAACCGAG
This 2697-nucleotide long non-coding RNA is filed under the name Nicotiana benthamiana. Its description in RNAcentral is "long non-coding RNA (NBEN_LNC024284)". The record is from RNAcentral. Lineage: Eukaryota; Viridiplantae; Streptophyta; Magnoliopsida; Solanales; Solanaceae.